GAGGAGAGAGAGAGGGUCUUCACCUCGGAACCCUCUUUUUCCGAUUAGGAUGAAACCCCAUCGGAGCUUCACAAGGGCGUCGACUUCACUUCCCAUUCACAACGGAACAGAAACAGAGAAGGCUCAAGCAUCUUCUUGUUCUUGUUUGAUUCCCAUAACCGCAGCCCCCUGCAUCUCUUUCUGCUCCUCUUCUUCUUCUUGUUCGAUUCCCCUUUUUUUUCUCUUUUUUUUUCUUUUUUUUUUUCCUGUUUGGUCUUGCUAUUCAUCUCCUUCUGUUCUCUUAUUCUUCUUGUUUGAUUCCCCCCCUCCCUUUUUAUUCUAUAUAUUUUGUUUGGUCAGCAGCAUUUCUUCUUCUUUCAUCCCUUUUUUUUUUUUUUCCCUUUUUUCUAUGCUUGCAACCCAGACGGAAGAGUGGUAAGGGUCUUCUUCUUUGAUCCCUCUGGUUUUUUUUUUUUUUUCUAUGCUUGCAACCCAGGCGAAAGAGUGAUGAGGUUUUUUUUAUUUAUUUUUCCUGUUUGAUCUUUGUAGCAGGAUCGUGUAAUUGUUUGGUGAUCUGUGAAAUUUUGAGAAUCUGACCUUUUUCUUUGGC
Macadamia integrifolia is the source of this 589-nucleotide long non-coding RNA. RefSeq lists it as uncharacterized. NCBI's taxonomy places the organism in Eukaryota, Viridiplantae, Streptophyta, Magnoliopsida, Proteales, Proteaceae. The transcript is spliced from 2 exons. The record is from RefSeq and is a predicted model, not a curated record.